RNAcentral lists this ribosomal RNA (441 nucleotides) under uncultured soil bacterium. RNAcentral describes it as "bacterial SSU rRNA". It matches the Rfam family "Bacterial small subunit ribosomal RNA", at positions 26 to 518 of the family's 1533-position model. The record is from RNAcentral.
AGAACGAACGCUGGCGGCAGGCUUAACACAUGCAAGUCGAACGCCCCGCAAGGGGAGUGGCAGACGGGUGAGUAACACGUGGGAACGUGCCCUUCGCUUCGGGAUAGCCUCGGGAAACUGGGAGUAAUACCGAAUACGCCGUAUUGGGAAAGAUUUAUCGGCGAAGGAUCGGCCCGCGUUGGAUUAGCUAGUUGGCGGUGUAAUGGACCACCAAGGCUACGAUCCAUAGCUGGUCUGAGAGGACGACCAGCCACACUGGGACUGAGACACGGCCCAGACUCCUACGGGAGGCAGCAGUGGGGAAUCUUGGACAAUGGGCGCAAGCCUGAUCCAGCCAUGCCGCGUGAGUGAAGAAGGCCUUAGGGUUGUAAAACUCUUUCGCCGGUGAAGAUAAUGACGGUAACCGGAGAAGAAGCCCGGCUAACUCGUGCCAGCAGCCGC